AGGGAUGUGGCUCAGUGAUAAGAGUGCUUGCCUAGCAUGCAUGAGGCCCUGGGUUAUAUCCCCAGCACUGCAA
This 73-nucleotide transfer RNA is filed under the name Ictidomys tridecemlineatus (thirteen-lined ground squirrel). RNAcentral's name for it is "Spermophilus tridecemlineatus (thirteen-lined ground squirrel) tRNA". It matches the Rfam family "tRNA". From Rfam's summary of the family: Transfer RNA (tRNA) molecules are approximately 80 nucleotides in length. Their secondary structure includes four short double-helical elements and three loops (D, anti-codon, and T loops). The record is from Rfam by way of RNAcentral. Lineage: Eukaryota; Metazoa; Chordata; Mammalia; Rodentia; Sciuridae. RNAcentral also lists the same sequence under 1 other name.